Molecule: ribosomal RNA, 560 nt
Filed under: Deniquelata barringtoniae
Lineage: Eukaryota; Fungi; Ascomycota; Dothideomycetes; Pleosporales; Didymosphaeriaceae
Description: SSU rRNA
Rfam family: Eukaryotic small subunit ribosomal RNA
Source: RNAcentral
AUACCGUGAAACUGCGAAUGGCUCAUUAAAUCAGUUAUCGUUUAUUUGAUAGUACCUUACUACUUGGAUAACCGUGGUAAUUCUAGAGCUAAUACAUGCUAAAAACCUCGACUUCGGGAGAGGUGUGUUUAUUAGAUAAAAAACCAAUGCCCUCCGGGGCUCCUUGGUGAUUCAUGAUAACUUCUCAGAUCGCAUGGCUACACGCCGGCGACGGUUCAUUCAAAUUUCUGCCCUAUCAACUUUCGAUGGUAAGGUAGUGGCUUACCAUGGUUUCAACGGGUAACGGGGAAUUAGGGUUCGAUUCCGGAGAGGGAGCCGGAGGAACGGCUACCACAUCCAAGGAAGGCAGCAGGCGCGCAAAUUACCCAAUGCCAAAUCGGCGAGGUAGCGACAAGAAAUACUGAUACAGGGCUCUUUUGGGUCUUGUAAUUGGAAUGAGUACAAUUUAAACCUCUUAACGAGGAACAAUUGGAGGGCAAGUCUGGUGCCAGCAGCCGCGGUAAUUCCAGCUCCAAUAGCGUAUAUUAAAGUUGUUGCAGUUAAAAAGCUCGUAGUUGAAC